UUAUGAUGGUGAGGGCAAUUUUUUAGCAUACCCUCAAACCUUUUCCAAUCUUGGUAAAGAUUUUCUCUUUCUUUUUGCCUAAAUCUCAGAAUCUCGCUUCUCAAACG
Non-coding RNA from Capsicum annuum, 107 nucleotides. The record is from Rfam. NCBI's taxonomy places the organism in Eukaryota, Viridiplantae, Streptophyta, Magnoliopsida, Solanales, Solanaceae.